CUCCACUUCUCAUUAUUGGUGUGACUUUAGACAAUGGUUCUCAAUCAGGGGUGAUUUUGACCCUCAGGGGACGUUUGGCCACAUCUGUAGACAUUUUUGGUCUUUGUAACUGUGAGGAUGCUAGUGGUAUCUAGUUGGCAGAGGCCAGAGAUGUUGCUAAACAUCCUACAAGGCACAGGACAGUCCCCACAACAAGACUUACUCUGUCCCAAGUGUCAGAGCUGAAGUUAAGACACUCUGUUUUAGACCAAUCACUCCUUUUCUUCAGGCCUUAAUAUCCUCAUUUUGAAAUGGGGACAUUUGGGUUAGCUCAGAGGUUUUGAGGGUAACACCAUCUUGAGGGUGUUUAAGAAUCUCCUGAGAAGCUUGUUAAAAAAGGCAAGUUUCUGGCCCCCUCUUCGGGCUUCCAUAGUCGUUCCCCAGAGCCACUCCUUGAAAAAGGUUGCACUGGAUAGUUUCUAAGAUCCUUCACAGCUGCCCUGUUUUCCAAUUCUAAAAAUGUAGAUAAGUAACAAAUGUGCUUAGGGUUCCUGCCUGAGCACAGGAUGCAUAUGGAAACAGAUGGUAAUCCUCCUUAAAAUCUCCUCACACGGACAUAUACCUCCGCACCCAUGGGCUGCACAGAGUGGUCAGGCGUGUAUGUGGUGAGACUUGAGGUUGACUCCUUUAACCCUUUCUCAGAAGCCUGUGAGCCCAUCAGUACCUGGGGUGGAUAAUUCUGUAGACUUGUGACAGCACCAGUUGUUCUGGAACAGCUGAUGUGACAGAAUAGCAGGAGACAACACACACUUUAAAUUCAGGCAUCAAGUCUCCGAGCAUCUUCUUUUUAGGUAAGGCUAUUCGUAGCACAAGGCCAUCACCUGGCAUUUUCAAGCUUGUAGGAAUUAGUUUACAGGGACCAUCAAAGAAGCUGUAGACAUGUCUGUCUGUUUAUUGUAGAGUUUGAACCAUAUGUUAUUUUGGGGGAAGGGCAAGGUUAGGGUGUGUUGCUGCUGUUGGCAAAAGCAUGACUCCAAGUAUACUCAUAGCCACCAAUUAUUGAGGAUCUUCCAUGUGUCAGAUGCUUGUGCUACAUCGUUUAGCUCUCCUGGAGCACCGCAAGGAAGAAAUUACUAUUUUCAUUUUUCAGAUGAGGAGACAAAGAUUCGGAGACAUUUAGUAACUUGCCCAAGAUCACACUGUAAGUAAAUGGCAGAGUCCGCUUGUCAACCCAGGACUGCUUGAUUCCAAAGCUCAUCCUCUGCCACCAAUGCUGACUUCCUCCUGUGAGGACUAGAGGGGACCCCAGAAGGCCAGAGACAAGAGAAGCAGGAGACCACCAGCCACAAACAUCUCCACAUGUGGCUUGUCCCCAAACAGCUACAUUUGUGUGUUCCUGGGCUUGAUUUUUGCUUGGAACUUAUGUGGUUAUAUUGGAGUAAGGUGCAAUGCCUAGUUAUUUCAUCAUUCCUUAAGUAUCUGAACUUCUCCCCGAGAUUAAUGUCUUCUAAGCUAGGAGGAUUUUUUUUUUUAAAACAUGUUUUAUGUAGAUGGAUUCAUUUUUCUAAGUUUUCAUAUGAGAACUACUGAACUAGAAUUGCUGGGAGUAGAGUUGAGGGUUGUUUUGGGAUUUUUGAUUUAUCAGCGUCACAGUUUUCACUGGUAGGAUCACUAUUCUUUCUCUUGGUUGAGGUAUUUUCUCCAGAAGGCUUCAGUCCAAAUGCAAACACGUUACCUGGAAGCAGUGACACAGUGAGUCAUUGCCUCUGCCAACCUGCUGACGUGCGUGGGGAUGUGAUUAUGUCUUGAGAGAAAGAAACUUACCAUAGCUUUGCCCUGGAGGCAGCCAGCUGCCAUGUUGUGAGCUGCCCUAUGGAGAGGCCCCCAUGGCAGAGAACUGAGGUCUCCAGACAACGUCCAGCAGACCUGAGGCUGCCAUAGUGACGUGAGUGAGCUUGGAAGCAGAUCCCUCCCCAGUUGAGCCUUAAGAUGACUACAGCCCUGGAGGGCACCUCGACUACAGCCUCAACUAUGAGAGUGACUCUGAACCAGGCCCAGAUUUCUUUUUUUUUUUUGAGGAAGGUUAGCUCUGAGCUAACAUCCACCGUCAAUCCUCCUCUUUUUGCUGAGGAAGACUGGUCCUGAGCUAACAUCUGUGCCCAUCUUCCUCUGCUUUGUAUGUGGGAUGCCUGCCACAGCAUGGCGUGCCAAGCGGUGCCAUGUCUGCACACGGGAUCCAAACCAGCAAACCCUGGGCCACCGAAGCAGAAUGUGCGAACUUAACCGCUGCGCCACCGGACUGGCCCCAGGCCCAGAUUUCUGACUCACAGAAACUGUAUUUUAAAUGUUUGAUGAUUUAAAAUGAUAAGUUUUGAGGUAGUUUGUUACAUAGCAGUAGAUGAGUAAUAGACGAUGUUGCAAAAAGAACCCUAGUCAGACAGGUAAUUUAAAGUGCAUAUAAUCUAAAUAAGAGACACAACAAAUAUAGCAAUAACUGUUUUGCACAACUGUAACAGUAAUAAUAACCAAUUCCUACACAGAGCUUACAAUGUGCCCCAAACUGAUAUAUAUACCUGUAUAUAUAUACACAUAUAUAAAUAUAUACACACAUAUGAAUAAAUACGUGUAUUCAAAUAUAUACAUAUAAAUGUAUAUAUAUUAACCCAUUCAUUCCUCACAACAACACUGUGACAUGACUAUCCCCAUUUUACAGAUGAAGAAAUGGAGUCACCAGAAAGAUUAAGUAAGUUGCUCAAGGUCACACAGCUAGUACAGGUAGGAAAUGGUAGACCGAAAGUUAGAACCCAAUUUCCAGAUGGCUUGCUCGUUACCACUGUGCUGUAGGGUACCCACAAAUGAGAUAAGGAAGUAUCAUGAAAUGAUAAGUUCUAAAGGCAGGAUUACAUGCACUUUGAGGGAUAAGGACAGGAUUUUAUGGGGAAGGUGGAUUGUGAGACAGGGAGGCUUAAGCACAUUGAGAUAGAAGCAGGAUAUAAGCAGAAUCCCCGUUGCAAUGGAUCGAAUGUUUCUGUUCUUCCAAAAUUCCUUUUCUAUUUUGCUAAUUGUAUAGUUACUGCUAAAAUUGCUGCUACGUUCCCUCUUUGGGGCAGCAUUUCUUUAUUUACUGGUGCCAGCAAUGGGGACACACUGCUCACUAUUCAGUUCAACUUAGCUGGCACGGACCCGAAAUCAGCCGCGGGCAGAGGACAGGCUGCAACUUCCCAUUUUCUUGCUGGGUGCGGGCUGCCUGCUAGAGAGGUUUCAAGGCUCCCAUUCCACAAUCUGGGAUCUAAAGAGUUCGACUCAGAUGCAGGGUCUCAUUUUCAGAGGUGUUACAUUUGCAUAAUUUUACAGCUGGGGAUAUCAGAGCUAAGGUAAAUCAAAUAAGUUUGUGCCUCUGCACAAAUAAAAGCUUGCUCCCUUUCCCCAGGCUCCCAUCAUCCUCUUAUAACCAUUCCUCGGGUUCUGGCUCUUUCUCAGACCUCCUUUCCAUAUUGCAUCUCAUGCUCAGAAAUAACUUCGGCUCUGCAGCCAUUGUGCUCCGCCCACCUCUGUGUGCCUUCCCCAGGAAUAUAAGCUGUGGCUGUGGUGCCGGAGAGGGCAGGAGCCUCGGUCGUAGGUGGCUGGGCUCCCAUCUUCUUUCUGUACCAUCAGAAGCCAAGUGACCGUUGUCUCCUGCCUGGCCAGGGGUGGCAGCCUCCUAACUGUCUCCUUACACUCGUUCCCACCUCCACUUUUCUUGUCCACACAGUGGACAGAAUAAUCACUGAAAACAAUUAAUUUAGUAUUUUUAUUUUAAACACAAUGCAUGGAGGCCAGCCCGGUGCCACAGUGGUUAAGUUUGCAUGUUCCACAUGCAAUGUAUGAAUCUAGUUAAAAAAAGAGAGACAAGUUCAAAAGUGGGUGCAAUGAAAGAUCUCUGUCCUAAGUCAGCCCUCUAGUUCCCAAGGACCUCUUCCAAUAGGCAACAACAUUCACCAGUUCAUUGUAGAUUUUUCAGAAAUAGUCUACAUAUAUACAUAUAUGUAUAAGAGAUAUGCAUACAUAUAUAUAUAUUUUUUUUUUUUUGAGGAAGAUUAGCCCUGAGCUAACAUCUGCUGCCAAUCCUCCUCUUUUUGCUGAGGAAGACUGACCCUGAGGUGAUAUCCAUGCCCAUCUUCCUCUACUUUAUAUGUGGGACGCCUACCACAGAAUGGCGUGCCAAGCAGUGUCAUGUCAGCACCCAGGAUCCGAACCUGCGAACCCCGGGCCACCAAGCAGAACGUGUGAACUUAAAUGCUGGUCCAAUAUACAUAUAUAUUUUUGAUGAAAUUUUUCUUCUAUAUAUGAAUGCUUUUAGUAUAUAAAUUCGAUCAUGACGUACAACAGAAACUCUCCAUCAACCUUAGGAAAGUAUACAAAAUUUUUAACAUGGCCUUCAAGCCAUGCAUGAUCUGGCCCUUCCCUGACUGUGCGACCUUGUCUCAAGCCAUUCUCCUCUUUAUCUUCUGUUUUUCACAUGAGACUUAUAUCAGAUGGUCAAACAUCUAAUCUACCCCCCUAAGGUUCUCUGCACAUGCUCUGUCUUUGAUUAGAACAGCUUUUUGUCUGGAAUGGAAAUUGUGGUUGCCUCUUCCACAUAGAUCCCAUCUACGCUUAGGAGCCAUAUGGUUUGGAUGAAACAGACCUACCCUAGGGUCCAAGAAUAUACGAAUCCCAUUCUUCUUACUAAAAUGGUUGGUUCAGGUAAGCAAGACCUAAGUAACUCAGGAGACAACCACCAGUUAGAAGGAUUGGUUUGGGGUAGCCUCGUUAGCAUAAAGAGGGAACACUCUCUUUCUCUCUGUGCAUGUGAAGAAAGAAACUCUAGUAAUUGUUGGUAGACAUUAUCAUGGUAGAAACCAAGAGACUGAAACCAGCACGUAAAUUUUGGCAGGAUGGUUAGAAUCUCAGAGAAACAAAGCCAGAGGCUUGAUCAAACUGUGCCUGAAGCUAUUACAAUAAAUACUUUUUAGUGUUUUAAGGAAAUUUACAUUGGGUUUUAUUUGAGUUGCAGACAACUUAAGGCAUCCUGAUAUACCCCUUCUUCCCCACAUGCAACUUCUUCUAUCUGGCUAAUUCUUACCCAGUCUCCAAACCUCUUAAAUGUUACUUCCUCAGAGAGGCUUUUUCUGACUUUCCCAGACUAGGCUGGGUUUUCCUUUCAUGUGUUUUCCUUGCAUUGAGGACUCUUCCUCCCACAUACUUGUCACAAUUGUAAUGAAAGAUGACUUUUUAAUGUCCCUCUCCCCCAGGGGACUAUAAAUUAAAUGAAGUCAGAGCUAUGUCUGUCUGGUUCACUGCUCUGUCCCCAGGUUCUGGCACACACCUCACACCAGUUAACUGCUCGAUAAACAUUUAUUGGAUGCAAAAGUGAAUGAAUGGUAG
Equus asinus (donkey) is the source of this 5385-nucleotide long non-coding RNA. NCBI's taxonomy places the organism in Eukaryota, Metazoa, Chordata, Mammalia, Perissodactyla, Equidae. The record is from Ensembl.